AUGGUAACCACACUUGAAUACAUAUCAGCUGGAGUUGUUUCUGCAAUAUGUAUUAAAAUGUAUGGACAUUUUUACAGAAACAGAAAUGAAAAAAAAGGUAUGAAUGAUAAAGUACAUGAUAAUGAUGGUAAUCCCAUUCCAGAAGUUGAUAUAAUAUGUGAUGUAACAAAUAAUUUUGGGAAGUAUUAUGUUAAAGAAGUAGUAAAUAAAAAACAUAUCAUUGGUAUAAUACCCGUUUAUAAAUCUUAUAAUAAAGAAUAUAUAAAUAUGUCUAGGUUUAAUGAUUUUAUGGCUGAGUUAUUUGUUUUUAUAAACUUACGAAAUGGUAAACUUAUAUUAGCAAGUGAAGAUAAUUCUGUUAAUGAUUAUUUCCAAACAAAUUUAGAAAAUAAUUUUAAAGAAAGUGAUGAUAAUAGUAGUGAUAAUGGUAGUAAUGCUGAGAAUGUAUUACUUGCCUCUUGUAUUAUUGUAAAUGAAAAAGUAUCUUUAGUUGUAUGUGUUAUUGAUUAUGAAACAGAUCUUGAAAAACAACUUGAUUUUUUUUUAACAAAUAAAAAAAAUAAUUUAUAUGUAAUUAUAAAUAAUAUAUUUAUAAAUAAUAUAAAAUAUAAUAAAUUUAAAAAUAAUGAAAUAGUAGAAAAAGAUUAUUCAUUAAAUAAAAAAAAAGAAAAUCAUCCAAUGUAUACCUUUUUUCCUUUUUUAAAGUUACUUAAUAUUAGGAAGGAAUAUUUAAAAGAUUUAUAUUUAUUAAUGCAAAUACAUAUGAAUAAUUUUAUUUACUUUUAUAAAAUGUUAGGAAACAGUCAAUAUUCAGAAACCUAUUUAAAUGGAUAUAUGAGUGAUAAUGUUAUAAAUACAAAAAUAUAUAAUUCAUUAAUGGAUAUAUAUCAUAAUUUAAUUUUUGAAGCUAUCAAAAAAGAUAACAAAAAUAUUAAUUUGAAAAAAAUGUAUACACCUAAUAGUCCUAAAUGUGAUUAUACACAAAUGGUAAAAUUAACAUUGAUGAAAUUAGAAAGCAAUCAGUUACUAUUUUAUAUAUAUAAUAUUUAUUCAUAUAUAUAUAAUAAUUUAAUUUAA
This 1077-nucleotide long non-coding RNA is filed under the name Piliocolobus tephrosceles (Ugandan red Colobus). Its description in RNAcentral is "lncRNA (ENSPTEG00000019321.1)". Lineage: Eukaryota; Metazoa; Chordata; Mammalia; Primates; Cercopithecidae. The record is from RNAcentral.